GACGAACGCUGGCGGCGUGCCUAAUACAUGCAAGUAGAACGCUGAAGGAGGAGCUUGCUUCUCUGGAUGAGUUGCGAACGGGUGAGUAACGCGUAGGUAACCUGCCUGGUAGCGGGGGAUAACUAUUGGAAACGAUAGCUAAUACCGCAUAAGAGUAGAUGUCGCAUGACAUUUGCUUAAAAGGUGCAAUUGCAUCACUACCAGAUGGACCUGCGUUGUAUUAGCUAGUUGGUGAGGUAACGGCUCACCAAGGCAACGAUACAUAGCCGACCUGAGAGGGUGAUCGGCCACACUGGGACUGAGACACGGCCCAGACUCCUACGGGAGGCAGCAGUAGGGAAUCUUCGGCAAUGGACGGAAGUCUGACCGAGCAACGCCGCGUGAGUGAAGAAGGUUUUCGGAUCGUAAAGCUCUGUUGUAAGAGAAGAACGAGUGUGAGAGUGGAAAGUCACACUGUGACGUAUCUACCAGAAAGACGCA
This 480-nucleotide ribosomal RNA is filed under the name Streptococcus mitis. Its description in RNAcentral is "bacterial SSU rRNA". It matches the Rfam family "Bacterial small subunit ribosomal RNA", at positions 28 to 495 of the family's 1533-position model. Lineage: Bacteria; Bacillati; Bacillota; Bacilli; Lactobacillales; Streptococcaceae. The record is from RNAcentral.